AUGUACCCAUGUAGGCUCCGGUUUCUCCGCGCCUUCCGCACCUACCUGACAGCUGCUCGCCACGUUUUGCUAGCC
RNAcentral lists this small RNA (75 nucleotides) under Xanthomonas campestris. RNAcentral's name for it is "sRNA sX9". It matches the Rfam family "Xanthomonas sRNA sX9". Lineage: Bacteria; Pseudomonadati; Pseudomonadota; Gammaproteobacteria; Lysobacterales; Lysobacteraceae. The record is from RNAcentral. RNAcentral also lists the same sequence under 2 other names.